AUUAAACGCUGGCGGCAUGCCUUACACAUGCAAGUCGAACGGCAGCACGGGGGCAACCCUGGUGGCGAGUGGCGGACGGGUGAGUAAUACAUCGGAACGUGCCCUGGAGUGGGGGAUAACGCAGCGAAAGCUACGCUAAUACCGCAUAUUCUGUGAGCAGGAAAGCAGGGGAUCGCAAGACCUUGCGCUUUGGGAGCGGCCGAUGUCGGAUUAGCUAGUUGGUGGGGUAAAGGCCUACCAAGGCGACGAUCCGUAGCGGGUCUGAGAGGAUGAUCCGCCACACUGGGACUGAGACACGGCCCAGACUCCUACGGGAGGCAGCAGUGGGGAAUUUUGGACAAUGGGCGGAAGCCUGAUCCAGCCAUGCCGCGUGAGUGAAGAAGGCCU
This 387-nucleotide ribosomal RNA is filed under the name uncultured bacterium. Its description in RNAcentral is "bacterial SSU rRNA". It matches the Rfam family "Bacterial small subunit ribosomal RNA", at positions 29 to 417 of the family's 1533-position model. The record is from RNAcentral.